AUAGACCGUACCCGAAACCGACACAGGUGGACAGGUAGAGUAUACCAAGGCGCUUGAGAGAACUAUGUUGAAGGAACUCGGCAAAAUACCUCCGUAAGUUCGCGAGAAGGAGGCCCCGUCAGGACGCAAGUCUUGGCGGGGGGCACAAACCAGGGGGUGGCGACUGUUUACUAAAAACACAGGGCUCUGCGAAGUCGCAAGACGACGUAUAGGGUCUGACGCCUGCCCGGUGCCUGAAGGUUAAAAGGAGAGGUGAGAGCCUUGAAUUGAAGCCCAGGUAAACGGCGGCCGUAACUAUAACGGUCCUAAGGU
This 312-nucleotide ribosomal RNA is filed under the name Ochromonas sp. CCMP1393. Its description in RNAcentral is "partial Bacterial large subunit ribosomal RNA". It matches the Rfam family "Bacterial large subunit ribosomal RNA", at positions 1637 to 1957 of the family's 2925-position model. Lineage: Eukaryota; Chrysophyceae; Chromulinales; Chromulinaceae. The record is from RNAcentral.